RNAcentral lists this ribosomal RNA (1066 nucleotides) under Corythalia opima. RNAcentral describes it as "16S ribosomal RNA". The record is from RNAcentral. Lineage: Eukaryota; Metazoa; Arthropoda; Arachnida; Araneae; Salticidae.
ACUGAAAAGAUUCUUACAUUUAAACCUUUAAUAUAAAUUUUUUUAAAAAAAAUUAUAACAUUAUUAUUCAAAAACAAUCAACCCACAACUGAAAAGAAAAAAAACUUUCAAAAAAGAAAUAUAAUUUUCCUUUAGUAUCAGGAUAUAUCUAAUUAUUCAAAUAACAUAACAUCUCCCGAAUAUAUAUGAUCUAUUGUAUAUAAAAAUAUAUAUCUCAAUAUAUUAACAAAAUCUACAAUAGAAAUUACACGUUAUACGAAUAUAAUUAUAUCUGGUUUUUUAUAUAAAAAUAUAUAUUCAUAUAUUAUUCCUAAAGAAUAAUACAAAUUAAUAAUUUUUCAUUCAAAAACAAAGACCAACAGUACUUAAAAAGUUUAAUAACUACAUCAAAAAUUUCAAUAAAUUUACCCAAUAAAAUAAAUCAAAAAUAUCCAAAUAAUGAUAUAAUUAUUAGAUUCUAUAUAUAAAUUUAAUAAACUCCACUAAAAUUCAAUGACUGUUUAUCAAAAACAUCUCUAUUAUUCUCAUUAAUAGUAAAAUCUGCUCAAUGAAGUAUUUUCAAUAGCCGCAAUUUUAGUGCUAAGGUAGCAUAAUCAUUUGUCUUUUAAAUGAAGACUAGAACAAAAGAUUUAACAUUUAAUUCAAUUUAUCAAAAUUACAAAUCGAAAUUCAUUUAAAUGUAAAAAAGCAUUUAUAUAAAAGAAAGACGACAAGACCCUAUCGAACUUAACUUCAGUUAAACUGGGGCAGUCAAUUAAUUAUUAUUUUAAUUUAUACUAAAACAAUAAAAAUCUAAUACAACUAAAUCAUUCAGUUACCAUAGGGAUAACAGCGCAAUAAUAUUUUUAAGUCCUUAUAUAAAAAAUAAAUUACGACCUCGAUGUUGAAUUAAUUACCUAAUUAAAGCAAAUUUUAAAAAAGGAAGUCUGUUCGACUUUUAAAAAAUUACAUGAUUUGAGUUCAGACCGGUAUAAGCCAGGUCGGCUUCUAUCUUCUAAAAAAAUUUUUACAGUACGAAAGGACCCAAAAAUAUAAUAUAAUUAUCAUAUUGGCAGAAAUAUGCAUU